AUUGAACGCUGGCGGCAGGCUUAACACAUGCAAGUCGAACGAGUGGCGGACGGGUGAGUAAUGUCUGGGAAACUGCCUGAUGGAGGGGGAUAACUACUGGAAACGGUAGCUAAUACCGCAUACCAUCGGAUGUGCCCAGCUGGGAUUAGCUAGUAGGUGGGGGAAAGGCUCACCUAGGCGACGAUCCCUAGCUGUUCUGAGAGGAUGACCAGCCACACUGGAACUGAGACACGGUCCAGACUCCUACGGGAGGCAGCAGGGGGGAAUAUUGCACAAUGGGCGCAAGCCUGAUGCAGCCAUGCCGCGUGUAUGAAGAAGGCCUUCGGGUUGUAAAGUACUUUCAGCGAGGAGGCGUUACCCGCAGAAGAAGCACCGGCUAACUCCGUGCCAGCAGCCGCGGUGAUUC
This 406-nucleotide ribosomal RNA is filed under the name uncultured bacterium. RNAcentral describes it as "partial 16S ribosomal RNA". It matches the Rfam family "Bacterial small subunit ribosomal RNA", at positions 30 to 526 of the family's 1533-position model. The record is from RNAcentral.